GUAAAGUUAAUACCUUUGCUCAUUGACGUUACCCGCAGAAGAAGCACCGGCUAACUCCGUGCCAGCAGCCGCGGUAAUACGGAGGGUGCAAGUGUUAAUCGGAAUA
Molecule: ribosomal RNA, 106 nt
Filed under: Escherichia coli
Lineage: Bacteria; Pseudomonadati; Pseudomonadota; Gammaproteobacteria; Enterobacterales; Enterobacteriaceae
Description: partial 16S ribosomal RNA
Rfam family: Bacterial small subunit ribosomal RNA
Source: RNAcentral